CCACCACCAAAGCAUUUGCUGUACCGCGUUGACGGAGCGAAGCGACGUCAAACCGAUAAAACAGCAGUGUAAAGUGAGCCGCAGGGCGCUUUGCGCGACAGCGCAAAGGCAGGCGGUUUCGCGUAGCGAAAGCGAAUGCUUUGGGGUGGGGUGACUGCGUACCUUUUGUAUAAUGGGUCAGCGACUUAUAUUCUGUAGCAAGGUUAACCGAAUAGGGGAGCCGGAGGGAAACCGAGUCUUAACCGGGCGUUAAGUUGCAGGGUAUAGACCCGAAACCCGGUGAUCUAGCCAUGGGCAGGUUGAAGGUUGGGUAACACUAACUGGAGGACCGAACCGACUAAUGUUGAAAAAUUAGCGGAUGACCUGUGGCUGGGGGUGAAAGGCCAAUCAAACCGGGAGAUAGCUGGUUCUCCCCGAAAGCUAUUUAGGUAGCGCCUCGUGAAUUCAUCUCCGGGGGUAGAGCACUGUUUCGGCUAGGGGGCCAUCCCGGCUUACCAACCCGAUGCAAACUGCGAAUACCGGAGAAUGUUAUCACGGGAGACACACGGCGGGUGCUAACGUCCGUCGUGAAGAGGGAAACAACCCAGACCGCCAGCUAAGGUCCCAAAGUCAUGGUUAAGUGGGAAACGAUGUGGGAAGGCCCAGACAGCCAGGAUGUUGGCUUAGAAGCAGCCAUCAUUUAAAGAAAGCGUAAUAGCUCACUGGUCGAGUCGGCCUGCGCGGAAGAUGUAACGGGGCUAAACCAUGCACCGAAGCUGCGGCAGCGACACUGUGUGUUGUUGGGUAGGGGAGCGUUCUGUAAGCCUGCGAAGGUGGCCUGUGAGGGUUGCUGGAGGUAUCAGAAGUGCGAAUGCUGACAUAAGUAACGAUAAAGCGGGUGAAAAGCCCGCUCGCCGGAAGACCAAGGGUUCCUGUCCAACGUUAAUCGGGGCAGGGUGAGUCGACCCCUAAGGCGAGGCCGAAAGGCGUAGUCGAUGGGAAACGGGUUAAUAUUCCCGUACUUGGUGUUACUGCGAAGGGGGGACGGAGAAGGCUAUGUUGGCCGGGCGACGGUUGUCCCGGUUUAAGCGUGUAGGUGUGUGUUCCAGGUAAAUCCGGUUCACUUUAACACUGAGGCGUGACGACGAGGCACUACGGUGCUGAAGCAACAAAUGCCCUGCUUCCAGGAAAAGCCUCUAAGCAUCAGGUAACAUCAAAUCGUACCCCAAACCGACACAGGUGGUCAGGUAGAGAAUACCAAGGCGCUUGAGAGAACUCGGGUGAAGGAACUAGGCAAAAUGGUGCCGUAACUUCGGGAGAAGGCACGCUGACACGUAGGUGAAGUGAUUUACUCAUGGAGCUGAAGUCAGUCGAAGAUACCAGCUGGCUGCAACUGUUUAUUAAAAACACAGCACUGUGCAAACACGAAAGUGGACGUAUACGGUGUGACGCCUGCCCGGUGCCGGAAGGUUAAUUGAUGGGGUCAGCGCAAGCGAAGCUCCUGAUCGAAGCCCCGGUAAACGGCGGCCGUAACUAUAACGGUCCUAAGGUAGCGAAAUUCCUUGUCGGGUAAGUUCCGACCUGCACGAAUGGCGUAAUGAUGGCCAGGCUGUCUCCACCCGAGACUCAGUGAAAUUGAACUCGCUGUGAAGAUGCAGUGUACCCGCGGCAAGACGGAAAGACCCCGUGAACCUUUACUAUAGCUUGACACUGAACAUUGAGCCUUGAUGUGUAGGAUAGGUGGGAGGCUUUGAAGUGUGGACGCCAGUCUGCAUGGAGCCGACCUUGAAAUACCACCCUUUAAUGUUUGAUGUUCUAACGUGGACCCGUUACCCGGGUUGCGGACAGUGUCUGGUGGGUAGUUUGACUGGGGCGGUCUCCUCCUAAAGAGUAACGGAGGAGCACGAAGGUUGGCUAAUCCUGGUCGGACAUCAGGAGGUUAGUGCAAUGGCAUAAGCCAGCUUGACUGCGAGCGUGACGGCGCGAGCAGGUGCGAAAGCAGGUCAUAGUGAUCCGGUGGUUCUGAAUGGAAGGGCCAUCGCUCAACGGAUAAAAGGUACUCCGGGGAUAACAGGCUGAUACCGCCCAAGAGUUCAUAUCGACGGCGGUGUUUGGCACCUCGAUGUCGGCUCAUCACAUCCUGGGGCUGAAGUAGGUCCCAAGGGUAUGGCUGUUCGCCAUUUAAAGUGGUACGCGAGCUGGGUUUAGAACGUCGUGAGACAGUUCGGUCCCUAUCUGCCGUGGGCGCUGGAGAACUGAGGGGGGCUGCUCCUAGUACGAGAGGACCGGAGUGGACGCAUCACUGGUGUUCGGGUUGUCAUGCCAAUGGCACUGCCCGGUAGCUAAAUGCGGAAGAGAUAAGUGCUGAAAGCAUCUAAGCACGAAACUUGCCCCGA
This 2375-nucleotide ribosomal RNA is filed under the name Salmonella enterica subsp. enterica serovar Enteritidis. Its description in RNAcentral is "partial 23S ribosomal RNA". It matches the Rfam family "Bacterial large subunit ribosomal RNA". Lineage: Bacteria; Pseudomonadati; Pseudomonadota; Gammaproteobacteria; Enterobacterales; Enterobacteriaceae. The record is from RNAcentral.